Felis catus (domestic cat) is the source of this 6654-nucleotide RNA transcript. It is a transcript of the gene named aryl hydrocarbon receptor nuclear translocator 2, with no coding region annotated. Lineage: Eukaryota; Metazoa; Chordata; Mammalia; Carnivora; Felidae. The transcript has 20 exons. The record is from RefSeq and is a predicted model, not a curated record.
CGGAGGCAGCGCCCGCCCGCGCCGUCCUUUGUGUGGCGGCGGCGGCGGCGCCUGGGCCCGCCCGCCCUCCGGGGCCCGGCUCCGCGCCGCCCUCCGCCCCGCCCGGCCGCCCGGCCUCCCGGCAAGAUGGCAACCCCGGCGGCGGUCAACCCUCCCGAAAUGGCUUCAGACAUCCCUGGAUCGGUGACAUUGCCUGUUGCCCCCAUGGCGGCCACGGGACAGGUGAGGAUGGCGGGAGCCAUGCCCGCCCGUGGAGGAAAGCGGCGUUCCGGGCUGGACUUUGACGACGAAGACGGAGAAGGACCCAGCAAAUUUUCCAGAGAGAACCACAGCGAGAUCGAGCGGCGGCGGAGGAACAAGAUGACCCAGUACAUCACGGAGCUGUCGGACAUGGUGCCCACGUGCAGCGCGCUGGCCCGGAAGCCGGACAAGCUGACCAUCCUCCGCAUGGCCGUGUCGCACAUGAAGUCCAUGAGGGGCACAGGGAACAAGUCCACAGACGGCGCCUACAAGCCGUCGUUCCUGACGGAGCAGGAGCUGAAGCACCUCAUCCUGGAAGCAGCCGAUGGCUUUCUGUUUGUAGUGGCGGCAGAGACGGGACGGGUCAUUUACGUGUCUGACUCCGUCACCCCCGUGCUGAACCAGCCCCAGUCAGAAUGGUUUGGGAGCACCCUGUAUGAGCAGGUGCACCCCGACGAUGUGGAGAAGCUGAGAGAGCAGCUGUGCACCUCCGAAAACUCCAUGACAGGCCGGAUCCUGGACCUGAAGACGGGGACGGUGAAGAAAGAGGGACAGCAGUCCUCCAUGAGGAUGUGCAUGGGCUCGCGGAGGUCCUUCAUUUGCAGGAUGAGGUGUGGGAACGCUCCUUUGGACCACCUGCCGCUGAACAGAAUAACCACCAUGAGGAAAAGGUUCAGGAACGGCCUUGGCCCCGUGAAAGACGGGGAGGCCCAGUACGCCGUGGUGCACUGCACGGGUUACAUCAAGGCGUGGCCCCCCGCAGGGAUGACUAUACCCGAGGAGGACGCGGACGUGGGGCAGGGCAGCAAGUACUGCCUCGUGGCCAUCGGAAGACUCCAGGUGACCAGCUCUCCCGUGUGCAUGGACAUGAGCGGGGUGUCGGUGCCCACGGAGUUCUUAUCCCGACACAGCUCUGAUGGGGUCAUCACGUUCGUGGACCCCCGGUGCAUCAGCGUGGUUGGCUACCAACCCCAGGAUCUCCUCGGAAAGGACAUUUUGGAAUUCUGCCACUCGGAGGAUCAGAGCCACCUGCGCGAGAGCUUCCAGCAGGUGGUCAAACUGAAGGGCCAGGUGCUGUCAGUCAUGUACCGGCUCCGCACCAAGAACCGGGAGUGGCUGUUGAUCCGCACCAGCAGCUUCACGUUCCAGAACCCCUACUCCGACGAGAUAGAGUACGUCAUCUGCACCAACACCAAUGUCAAGCAGCUCCAACAGCAGCAGGCAGAGUUGGAGGUGCACCAGAGAGAUGGGCUGUCGUCAUACGACCUGUCGCAGGUUCCUGUCCCCAACCUCCCGGCCGGCGUUCACGAGGCGGGGAAGUCCGUGGAGAAGGCCGAUGCCAUCUUCUCCCAGGAGAGAGACCCCCGGUUUGCUGAGAUGUUUGCAGGAAUCAGUGCGUCGGAGAAGAAGAUGAUGACCUCAGCCUCUGCGGCGGGAACCCAGCAGAUCUACUCCCAGGGAAGCCCGUUCCCCCCCGGACACUCGGGGAAGGCCUUCAGCUCUUCCGUGGUCCACGUGCCUGGUGUGAAUGACAUCCAGUCCUCCUCGUCAACGGGCCAGAACAUGUCCCAAAUCUCCCGACAGCUGAACCAGAGUCAGGUGGCGUGGACAGGGAGCCGGCCGCCCUUUCCCGGACAGCAAAUCCCCUCCCAGUCCGGCAAGACUCAGUCGUCUCCCUUUGGGAUUGGAACGAGCCACACGUACCCAGCAGACCCCUCUUCCUACAGCCCUCUCUCCAGCCCAGCUACGUCUUCGCCCAGCGGGAACGCCUACUCCAGUCUCGCCAGCAGGACUCCGGGGUUCGCUGAGAGCGGACAGAGCGGCGGGCAGUUCCAAGGGCGGCCCUCGGAGGUCUGGUCCCAGUGGCAGAGCCAGCACCACGGGCAGCAGAGCGGUGAGCAGCACCCCCACCAGCAGCCCGGUCAGACUGAAGUGUUCCAGGUCUCCAGAGGGGCAGCGUUCUGACCUCCUUCCUCCGUCCUUACGCCGCACAGCAGCUGCGUGGCGCAGAACUCCCCAACCUGGCUCUUCGUGGUCACGAGGCUAAAAAGAAUUCUUGGUCGAAUAAGCGCGUGAAACGCUGGUUAAGCAAAGUUGUGCGGUUUCUUGACCGAAGGACUUAUCAGAGGCUUUUAUUAUAUUAAUGAAGACUGAGGCUAUUUUAGGCGGUAGGCGGAGUGCGUAUGCCUUGUUCCCCACAACCACUCGUCCACACAGUCCUUUUCUCCCAGAGUGUCUCACGGGCCAAGAAUUUGAGAAAACACGCCUUGGGAAAUUUUCCACACGGGAUUGAAAUACUGGCUAUGCCCAUUGUCUGGAUGGGCACUCUGAGGCCGGCCGAACUUGAAGGGCCUGUUACAAGUGAAGCUUCAGGACGCAGGCAUUUGGCCCCGCCCCCGGAACACGCACAGCCUUGCUCCGGGCCCUGAUAGGUUCACCCCACCGAUGGGCUCCUGUGCGCCCUGCGUCCUGGCUUUACAUAAACGCGGGUUAUGUCCUGAGGCUCGGUUUACCUGCUGGGAUGACCCCGCCCCCCCAGGGAGUAGCGGCUUCCGGGUGUGGACAUCUGAGGCCCCCCUGAGACCCCUGGGCUGCCCCAAGGAAGGACAUGCUGCCCAUGCCCGGAGACCCGACCCAGGGGACCGGCAACUAUAACAUCGAGGACUUCGCGGACCUGGGCAUGUUCCCGCCCUUCUCCGAGUAGCGGCGGGCAGAGUGCGGCUGGCGCUGGGCGGCGUGGCUCCUGUCGUGACCGCGCCACCCACGCGGGCGGGGCCCCCCCGCACCCUGCUUGCCCCGCCCGCCCCGCCACGGUCCCCCCCAGCAGAAAGCGUCUCACCCCCGUGCUCCUCCCCUGCACAGCGCCUCUCCGCUCUGGCCCCCAGCCCGGGGCCACCGACCAGGAGCCCCGGUAGCCGUCGGGGGGCCCGUUGUAUUUAUUGUACUUUAUCUGUGUGUGCUUGGGAGGCGAGCCGACUGGGCGCCGGGAGUCUGGUUGUGAAUAAUCUCCUAGUAGACGGUUUUCGCCUAUAAAACGUUCACCUGUAGUCCAGAGUGAGUGUCCGGGGCCUGCCCAGGCCUCAGGAAUUGGGUUUCUUCCCGCCUUUAACCUCCGUGGGUGGGCGGACUCGGGUGCGGGGAAGGGAGGCCAGCAGGACGCCUGGCCUGUGUUCUCCGCGCUGGGGCCGAGCAGGCGGGGACCCAGGGCCGGACGCCAGCUCCCCUGCCCCCAGCUCAGCGGCGCCCCGACUGGAGCGAGGUUGGCCCGGGGUCCCGGUGCCCGGCUGCGGUCCCACAGCCUCGCCAGGAGUCCUGGCCGGGAGCCCACUGGCUUUAAUGCGCCGGGCUUCUGAGAGGAAGCGGCCCCCUCCUCUUCCAGGAGGCCCCGAGGACCUGGCUGCCUGGUGAGUGCACGCCCUCGUCCCCCCCUCCAGGCCAGCGCCUCCGGGGCUGCAGAGCCCUGGGCCUUAUGUGGAGGAGCGAGCGGGGAGGCGGGACGUCCAGGCCCCCUCGUCCGGUGCCCUGCCGUGCAGGCCUGCUCCCCCAGGACCGGCCCUGGCGGCCACGUGGCCUCAGUGACCUGGAGGGGGCUCGGGUGCGGACCCGCACGGGGGCAGGAACGCGUCCCACCAGGCCCCUGAGCCUUCUCUCCUCGGCCGGCUGGGGGGCCGUGGUGUCUGGGGAGGGACGGGGUGCAGGUCUGUGAGGCAGGAGGCUGGGGCUCCCGCUCCGAUUCUGCCACACUCGCCCCGGGGCCCCGAAUUCCUCAGGACGCGAAGAAGAGCCCGCUUCUGGAAACUUCUGCUGGCUGACCGAGCCGUGGUCCCUGGCUGGCUGCGUUUCCCCGUCUUCGCCGACCUCGCCCCCUCCCACGCCCUGUGCGCACAGAGGCAGGCUCUCUGAGCCUCUCCUGUCCUCUUCGUGACGGCCACGCCUGGCCCCGCCGUCCCAUGGGCCCCCUGACUCCCGCCCCCGGGAAAGCCCUGCGUCCCUCCCAGGGUCCCUCAGGCAGCCCUGCUCAGGCACUUGCCUCGGACACAACCCGCGUGUCCCUCCCCUGGGAUUCCGGAAGGCCAGGCCGAGUGGAGCAGGGUCUCGGCUGCCUGAGAGCAGAGCGGGCCCAGCGUGCAGGACGGGACCGGGAGCGGCGUCUGUGCUGGGCAUUACGUGCCAGCCCCGCCCGGUGUCCCUCAGGGAUCCGCGUGGCCUGUCUUGCUUGGAGAGCUUCACCUGUAACCGUCCAAUGUGGGUAGAAUGCCUUUGGCGAGCAGCCAGCUCUGGGUGAUCCUGGUUCCUGGACUCUGGGUUCGCACUCACUCAGCAGUUUCUAGAGCAGCUUUAACCCCUCCGUGUAUGGCGGUGAUUGAUGAUUGAGUGCCGGGUUUAGGCACACCGGGGUCAUUUUACCCUCCACACACCCUCACCGUGCCAGACCGGAGUGGGGGGCUUCCCAGGGCUCACCCUGCCCGGGGCCACCUCUGCCUCCAAGCCUGAGCCGACCCCGAGCCGUGUGUGUGUAAUGUUUUCUGAGAAAGGCACAAAAAGGGCUUUUGGAUCCAAGAGCGGUUGCUCUGUGAAACGAAAACAGACUUUUUUGUGGCCUUUAGCCUGUGAGUUUGGCAGAAUCGGGAAUUUCGGAUUUGUUCCUUCUGUUUUCUGGAGGGAACUAGGGGAUUCUCCGGGCUGCGCACGUCAGGGGGGCACGCCAGCUGUGACCUGGGGCCACGCUGGACGCGGAGGGGACGCGGGAGAGGCAGAGCAGCCUUGCCCCGGCGACCUUCCGUCCUCUUCUGUCCCCACACCAGGGCCUGGGUUGCAGACUGCCGCGGUCCGGGUCCCGGCAGGUGAGGCCAGAGGGGCCUGAAAGCCAGUGUCAUGCGGAAUGUCAUGACUCAGGAGGCACGGCCUCCCCCCCCCCCGCCCGGCCCCCCAUCCCGCAUCGUCCCAGGGGCGCCCACAGGGAGCCUGACUGCGGUCCGAUGGGCCGGCCUGAGCUCUGCGUCCUCUCUCCUCCACCUCCUGCUUUCUGGUUGUGAUUCUUGGAAGCCAUCAUGUGGCCAGUGGGAAAACAGGACUGGAAGGAUCUCAUGCCCCAGAGACUCUUCCCCCAAGGAAUCUUGAGGCCGGCCAGGGUAAGAGUCGAAGCCCUUACAGGGCCUCACUGUCCCGUUUGGGAACAGGCCCGCCCAGCCAGCAGGGGACCCUGCGAGGCCCCGGCCCAGACGCCUCUCCCGCGGCAGACGCGGCCCAGCCUGGGCUGGGGCUUCGGCCGUGACUCUCUCUGCCGCUCGCACCUCCUCUCCCCUGUGAGACCUUCCCGGGCUCCCCCACGGAGCGGGCCGGGCCGUGGCUGCCUGCGCCUUGCGGGAGGACACGAAGCAGCCAUGUCGAGGCUCAACCGGGACUUGGCUGGUGACUGUGGCCGUGGCUAGGGAGGUUCUAGAACACUACGGAUGUGUCACUAGGGAGCUGGUUUUGUUUCUAGCUAUGGUGUCAGGGAGUGACAGAGCCGUCACAGACGUCACGUUCCUCCUCUGCUUCCCGAUGUUUUCAAUCCAGCCCCUUUGCUGUUUUGUGAAUACUGUGCAGAGAGUUGGCGGGGGCGAGGCGGGGGGCGGUUCUCUUAGUCGGAACUUAACCAGGGAGUGUGGACUCCAGUAAAGAGACAGUGUCUCCCCCAUUUAGCCACAUGUGACACAAGGGAUGGGGCAGGUCCCAGGAAAGUGAGUGCCGGUCCCCGAGCGCAUCAGCACCUGGGGGCAGGGACCGCGACAGCCACUCCCCUGGCCCGCCUGCUCCCUGAUGGUUGUGACCCGUCUCCAAGCAAGACCGAGUCAGGGUCUUGCUGCCUCGCGGACGCUCUAGCGAGUCACGAGUCAGGACAGAAGUGCCAGAAACUACGAGUUUGGUCAGUACUUGCCAAGGGGGCCCGUUGUCUCCUCCCUCCGCCACAUCCCUGCCCCGCCUCAUGUACUAGGGGGCCACGAGCCACCUGGCUGUCCACCUGUUAUCGACGGCCGGGGGUCUGGGACAACGUGGAGAGGCAGCGCACCGCGGGGCAGGCACCUGUCCACUUCUAGAGUGCCUGGGUCUGGUGGCCAAAGCUAGUUCGGCGGUCCGGCCACCGGCCAGAGCCCGCGUGGGCGGCACCGACCGUGAAGACCAGGGCUCGCUGGGCCAGGCCUCUUCCUUCAUAGACGCUUCUCAGACGGGCGUCCGUGGACAAGUCGAGCACUUAAUCGUUUCUCUUGUAGCCUUUCUUCUUAUGGAUGUGAGCCGUGCUGUGGAUAAAUCAUCGUCUGUAUUUCUUGAAUGUUCUCUAUGACUAACGGUUAUUGAGUUGGUUGUGUAUAUGUAUAACUAAUGUAACUGCCUUUUAAAAUUUCGUUACAAUAAAAAUGACUUUGCUCUGAA